ACUAGCUAACUGAAAUCACAAAAUCACAAAUAGUGCUUAUUGUGAUAACGUAAGGGAAAAAAUUGAUAUUACCUUACUAUGAGUGUUGUCUAAAUAACUGGUGCCAGAAGACUCGGUAACACCAGAAACGCGAACGUUAGUCGUCUUAAACAGGCGUAAAGGGUAAGUAGGCUGCUUUAAAUAUCUAAAUUAAUCUAAGCUAAUUAAUAAUUUUCUAUUAGUUGCUUCCUAAGCAACAAAAAAUCUCAAAUUAAAUAUAUAAAUUAUAAAUAACACACUUAAAAUUGAAAUUACUUGUUUUGCUAAUAGAAGCUAGUUACUUAUAACAGCUAAUAUUAUAAUUAUUCUUUUCUAUUAAAUUAGAAUCACUUAAAGCUAGAAUCAUAAUUGAGAUAAACCAAAUAAUACUUAAGUGUAAGGGCGAUAUCUGAAAAUACUAAGUAGAAUACUAACGGUGAAAACUUUUUAUCUAGGAAUGAUUGACGCUGAGGUACGAAAGUGAGAACAGGGAAUAGGAUUAGAUACCCAGUUACCUCUCACCGUCAACGAUGAAUGGUAGUUGUUAAUUUACUAAAAAAAGUGACGAUGUUAACGCGAUAACCAUUCCGCCUUGAGAGUACGGUUGCAAAACUGAAACCAAAAAAAUUAGUCGGUCUCGGAGCAAACGAGUGAAGAUGU
Molecule: ribosomal RNA, 678 nt
Filed under: Inosperma fulvum
Lineage: Eukaryota; Fungi; Basidiomycota; Agaricomycetes; Agaricales; Inocybaceae
Description: partial small subunit ribosomal RNA
Rfam family: Bacterial small subunit ribosomal RNA
Source: RNAcentral